UGGGGAAUAUUGGACAAUGGACCAAAAGUCUGAUCCAGCAAUUCUGUGUGCUUGAUGAAGGCCUUCGGGUUGUAAAGAGCUUUAAGUAGGGAAGAAGAAAGUGACGGUACCUACAGAAUAAGCGACGGCUAAAUACGUGCCAGCAGCCGCGGUAAUACGUAUGUCGCAAGCGUUAUCCGGAAUUAUUGGGCAUAAAGGGCGUCUAGGCGGUUUAGAAAGUCUGAUGUGAAAAUGCGGGGCUCAACCCCGUAUUGCGUUGGAAACUACUAGACUAGAGUAUUGGAGAGGUAAGCGGAACUACAAGUGUAGAGGUGAAGUUCGUAGAUAUUUGUAGGAAUGCCAAUUGGGAAGCCAGCUUACUGGACAAAUACUGACGCUGAAGCGC
This 385-nucleotide ribosomal RNA is filed under the name uncultured bacterium. Its description in RNAcentral is "bacterial SSU rRNA". It matches the Rfam family "Bacterial small subunit ribosomal RNA", at positions 355 to 754 of the family's 1533-position model. The record is from RNAcentral.